GUGAAUAUAGUCUAACCAAGACCAUAGGCUGUGAUCCUAGAAAUGGGGGCUGACUCCCCCCUAUUCACC
Molecule: transfer RNA, 69 nt
Filed under: Kaloula kokacii (Catanduanes narrow-mouthed frog)
Lineage: Eukaryota; Metazoa; Chordata; Amphibia; Anura; Microhylidae
Description: tRNA-His
Source: RNAcentral